Molecule: long non-coding RNA, 318 nt
Filed under: Carica papaya (papaya)
Lineage: Eukaryota; Viridiplantae; Streptophyta; Magnoliopsida; Brassicales; Caricaceae
Description: long non-coding RNA (CPAP_LNC016118)
Source: RNAcentral
CAUGGAUUCCAUGCUUACCACGUACAUUCAAAGGGACUUUAAGAAUAAGUUGAUCAAGUAUUGAGGUAUAUUAAGAAUCAUUUAGCCUUGACGGAUUUAGAAGAAUAGUACGAUUCAACUAAAGAAAAUUCAUGAAGAUGCCAAUAAUUAAAAGAAAAAGGGAAAAAGGAUCUUGAAAACUCUAGUAUGAUAAGGAACCACAAAUAACAUCUGUUACUUCAAAAACCAUCACACCCAUUUAGUUUCGUACACACUUAUCUUGGAGGAUGUGAAUAUGAAACAGAAUAGUAAAAGUAAACCGUUGUAUUGGUGAACUUU